Panthera uncia (snow leopard) is the source of this 2142-nucleotide long non-coding RNA. RefSeq lists it as uncharacterized. NCBI's taxonomy places the organism in Eukaryota, Metazoa, Chordata, Mammalia, Carnivora, Felidae. The record is from RefSeq and is a predicted model, not a curated record. The transcript has 2 exons.
GUGACCGCCGCGGCGGCCUUCUUGGUUUAUCUGUGGCGGGAGAGAGCUGGGGACCUAGACCGGGGCCCGGAAUCGGGGACGGCGGAGCUCCGAGGCUUCCCGCCGGUGCCGGCCUCCGCCCUCGUCCUGUGCAGACGGGCCGGCCACCUGCCUGCUGGGCCUUCGGAGUGAGCUGGGCGGCCUCGGUGCCCUCACCUGUGAGAUGGUCCCAGGGUCGUCCAGGGAACAGCGUUGCCGGAGGCCUAUGGGAGGCAGCGGGGACGUGCACGGCCGUGUGAAGCAGGGCGAUGGCCCGAAGGACCAACCGGGAGCCCCGAAAAGCUGACCGUGGGUGAGGUUGUUGAGCAGAGCAGAGCCCCUGCCCUCGGCUGACUUCCGCCAAGGGUUGUGUGACGGGCCCCUUGGCUUUCGUUGCAGACGAUUGAGCAAGAUACGGCUGGCCCGUGGGUGACCGGUCACCACGUGUUACUCAGCGCCCGGACACCAGCCAGGUCGGGAGCCGUGCCACCUUCCGUGAUGGACACACUGGCUACUCUGCGGAAGCGCGUCACCGAAGCCGGGAGUCGACCGACAGAGGUGAGAAAGUGGCAAGGACGGGAAGUGGGGACCCUGGAGGCAAAUCCAGGUGCAGCAGCGACGGGGCGAGAAGAAAGAGCUGCGGCCAGAGGGGCCUGGCGAGGCCGACUUGAUGAGAAGGACGAUGUCCCCCGGGGGGUGACGCCGGCCACGCCCCCGCGCCGACACGUUUCGCGUCGCCCCGAGUGCCCGAGUGCGAAGGCCUCGCUGGAAGCUGAUCGCGACGCGGAACAGACAGCGACGGCCGACAGAGGUCCAGAAAGGAUGCUCGCGGCACGUCCUAAGUCACAGCGGAAGAGGCGAUAGCUGUUCAUACUGUUCCUGGUAAGUUUCUCCUUUAAGUCGUGGUUAAAUACACAUAGUUUAUUUAUUUACUUUCUAUUUUUUUAAUGUUUUUUUUUUAAACGUUCAUUCAUGUUUGAGACAGAGAGAGACAGAGCAUGAAUGGGGGAAGGUCAGAGAGAGAGAGAGAGACACAGAAUCUGAAACAGGCUCCAGGCUCCAAGCUGUCAGCACAGAGCCCGACGCGGGGCUCGAACUCACGGACCGCAAGAUCAUGACCUGAGCCGAAGUUGGACGCCCAACCGACUGAGCCACCCAGGCGCCCCGUAUUUUUUUAAUGUUUUAUUUUAUUUUUUGAGAGGCAGAAUGAGAGUGCGAGCAGGGGAGGGGCAGGGAGAGAAGGAGACACAGAAUCCGAAGCAGGCUCCAGGCUCCCAGCCGUCAGCACAGAGCCUGACGCGGGGCUCGAAGCCCCAAACACAAGGUCAUGACCUGAGCCGAAGUCAGAGCCACCCAGGCACCCCAAAUACCCAUAGUUUAAAAUCUACGACCUUGACCACUUCCAAGUGCAUGGUUCUGUGGCAUCAGGUGCUGUACAAGCAGGGACGGCUCCGCGAACUUGUGUGUGGACACCGUUGCAGAGAUGCUCAUCUCCUCGAGGCCGUUCUGAUUUGAGUAUCUGUGCUGCUUUCGAACAAGGAAAGAAGCUCGAUCAUUCUCGAUGCUUCUGAAAGUUAGAGUGCCCCCAGCAAAGAUUAGCUUUACCGUUUCUAUUUGCCUGCAUAGUUCUAACCAAUGGGAAAGUUUCUCAUGUUUGGGAGAUCAUGGAAGUCACACUUUUCCCACUGAUUUUUGUUCUCUCCCCAUGUCCACUUAAACAGUGUUAUUGAGGGGUGCCUAAGGGGCUCGGUCGGUUAAGUGCCCAACUUCAGCUCAGGUCAUGGUCUCACAGUUUGUGAGUUCGAGCCCCACGUCGGGCUCUGUGCUGACAGCCUAGAGCCUGGAGCCUGCUUCGGAUAUGUCUGUCUGUCUCUCUGCCCCUUUCCUGCUCACACUCUCUCUCUGUCUCUCAAAAAUGAAUAAACGUUAAAAAAUUUUUUUUGAAAAUGUUAUUGGGAUGCCUAGGUGGCUCAGUUGGUUCAGUGUCCGACUCUUGAUUUCCACUCAGGUCAUGAUCUCACGGUUCAUGAGAUUGAGCCCUGGUCAGGCUCUGUGCUGACAGCACACAGCCUGCUUGGGAUCCUCUCUCUCUCUGCACGCCCCCCCCCCCCCAAAAUAAAUAAA